GACAGAGGGUGCAAACGUUGUUCGGAAUUACUGGGCGUAAAGCGCGUGUAGGCGGCAUGACAAGUCGGGUGUGAAAGCCCUGGGCCCAACCCAGGAAGUGCACUCGAUACUGUCGUGCUAGAGUCCCGGAGAGGGUGGUGGAACUCUCGGUGUAGAGGUGAAAUUCGUAGAUAUCGAGAAGAACACCGGUGGCGAAGGCGGCCACCUGGACGGUGACUGACGCUGAGACGCGAAAGCGUGGGGAGCAAACAGG
RNAcentral lists this ribosomal RNA (253 nucleotides) under uncultured bacterium. RNAcentral's name for it is "partial 16S ribosomal RNA". It matches the Rfam family "Bacterial small subunit ribosomal RNA", at positions 524 to 776 of the family's 1533-position model. The record is from RNAcentral.